This 384-nucleotide ribosomal RNA is filed under the name Triticum aestivum (bread wheat). RNAcentral's name for it is "partial small subunit ribosomal RNA". The record is from RNAcentral. Lineage: Eukaryota; Viridiplantae; Streptophyta; Magnoliopsida; Poales; Poaceae.
CAGCAUGGGGUUGCUGUGUCUUAUAUGCAGGCAUGGCGCGGAAAGGAGAGAAGCAUGGCUGCUGUUCAUGGUACCCUUGAGGAUGGAUAUCGCCUUCUUCCUGCAUACUGUGACCAGAUUGGAAAGACAAAUCCUGGUAGCGUUGCAGUAUACAAAGGGGCUGGGCCAGAGAAUUCCUUCCAACGGCUCUUUGUUUCAUUUCAUGCAUCUAUUUAUGGUUUCUUAAAUGCGUGUAGACCCCUUUUGGAAAUUGACAAGGCAGAUCUAAAGGGCAAGUAUCUUGGGACAUUGCUAUGUGCUUCGGCUGUUGAUGCUGAUCACAUGAUGUUCCCUGUAGCAUUUGGUGUUGUUGAUUCUGAAAGUGAUGAGAACUGGAUGUGGUUU